This is a non-coding RNA of Gasterosteus aculeatus aculeatus (three-spined stickleback), 160 nucleotides long. The record is from RefSeq and is a predicted model, not a curated record. Lineage: Eukaryota; Metazoa; Chordata; Actinopteri; Perciformes; Gasterosteidae.
UUACAUCACUAAGGGCCUGUACAUGGAAGGGAGACAUUGUCUCUCUGCAGCUACUGUCAUAACCGGUUUAGCAGGGGAGGCUCCUUCUGAGGCUGCAGCACAAGAGAGACAGCAUUGGGGAGCUUGACACUGAUCGUCAAGAAGAGAUGAAGAUGGCGAG